RNAcentral lists this ribosomal RNA (253 nucleotides) under uncultured bacterium. RNAcentral's name for it is "partial 16S ribosomal RNA". It matches the Rfam family "Bacterial small subunit ribosomal RNA", at positions 524 to 776 of the family's 1533-position model. The record is from RNAcentral.
UACAGAGGAGCCAAGCGUUGUCCGGAUUGACUGGGCGUAAAGCGCACGCAGGCGGUUGGGCGCGUGGGGUGUGAAAUCUGGCCGCUUAACGGCCAGGCGCCAUCCCAUACGGCGCGACUGGAGUGAUGCAGAGGUCGAUGGAAUUGCCGGUGUAGUGGUGAAAUGCGCAGAUAUCGGGAAGAACACCCGUGGCGAAGGCGGCUCUCUGGGACGGUACUGACGCUGAGACGCGAAAGCGUGGGGAGCGAACAGG